This is a long non-coding RNA of Ananas comosus (pineapple), 541 nucleotides long. RefSeq lists it as uncharacterized. The record is from RefSeq and is a predicted model, not a curated record. NCBI's taxonomy places the organism in Eukaryota, Viridiplantae, Streptophyta, Magnoliopsida, Poales, Bromeliaceae. The transcript is spliced from 3 exons.
CAGGGUCUGGUGCCUGAAGCACUUCUGAUAAGCACCCGCUGACGAACACUUCUGACAGAAGCAGCACAGUUUGGAGCUUGUUUACGGUGUCGAUGGCAUUAUUUAUCAUCAGUUUCUGAGAAUGAAUUCACAAGAAGAAAAAAAAAAAAAAAGAGAGAGGAGUUUUUAGUUGUAAGAUUCUCCUGAACAAAUUGGAUAUGAUAAGUUAAUCCAAAUCAGUUACUUCUCCGCGGUGAUUGAGCGCGAGUAAGUAGUCCAGAAGCGGUUUCAUGCUCUCGGACUUGUCGCCCAGUUUCGAAGAUAAGAAUCUCGACACGAACUGCAUUCCAUUCCCUACGGAUGAAGGCAGUGCUAGGAGAGGGGUUGAUAGAUUGAAAGCCCCGAAGUCGAUUUCCAACGCAUUCUCGUCCUUCGCCCUGCGAUUUUCACAUGUUCACAAGUACUCUGAUGGCGUGAUUCCCUCGACCGAGAGAUCAUUGGAAUGCACCUUAACAUACUCCCAGAUUCCGGGCUGAGGCCUCACUGCAAAGGCUACAUAUGG